This is a long non-coding RNA of Oncorhynchus kisutch (coho salmon), 655 nucleotides long. RefSeq lists it as uncharacterized. NCBI's taxonomy places the organism in Eukaryota, Metazoa, Chordata, Actinopteri, Salmoniformes, Salmonidae. The record is from RefSeq and is a predicted model, not a curated record. The transcript is spliced from 5 exons.
AUACCCUGAGGAUAUUACAUUUUUGCAUCUGAGCUCCUAGAGUGUGCGGCUCUCCUUUAUCUUCAGAGUGAUGCACAGCCAUCAGCGUUUGGACUCACAUUUCACAAAUUUGCCCAGGUGGAGGCGGGGACUGAUUUCCCCCAUCUGACGUUCUUCCUGCUCACCCACAACAUUUGGCCUCCAGGGGGCACCAACCUGUCUAAACUGGCCAUCAGGGACUUCGUAUCUGAGAUAGCACCCUUUCAGAGUGGGGGAGAUGGUGGUGAAAGGCUUCGAGACCUUCACCAUCGACUCACUUCCAGCUGGGUCUCAUUAUGUUUUGACGUAUACUGCCCUCAUCAAUGGUCACGAGUGAAAUUCUGGACCUGUCAGCCCUCCUAAUGUUCUCCAAUGCCUCACUGAAUGGCGUCAGUAUGUUUGGUCCAGUGGUGGCUAAUUUAACACUAAGGGUGAAAUCCAUGGACAAGCCUAUCGGAUUUCCUGUUAUCUACCCAUUGACGGAUUUCCCCCAGACUACGUUACUAGACUUUUCCCUGCCUGUACGGUUGUCCUUUUGGACCAGUGUGUAUGACCUAACUGCCCCUGGACCCAGCUACCUGCCUCCUCCUGUGGUCCUUUGUAAUAAACACCUGCUGCGCCCUGCGCUUGAAACCAG